UACGGGGGGGGCAAGCGUUGUUCGGAAUUACUGGGCGUAAAGGGCGCGUAGGCGGCCCGCUAAGUCGAACGUGAAAUCCCCAGGCUCAACCUGGGAACUGCGUCCGAUACUGGCAGGCUUGAAUCCGGGAGAGGGAUGUGGAAUUCCAGGUGUAGCGGUGAAAUGCGUAGAUAUCUGGAGGAACACCGGUGGCGAAGGCGGGUCUCUGGGCCGAUACUGACGCUGAGGAGCGAAAGCGUGGGGAGCGAACAGG
RNAcentral lists this ribosomal RNA (253 nucleotides) under uncultured bacterium. RNAcentral describes it as "partial 16S ribosomal RNA". It matches the Rfam family "Bacterial small subunit ribosomal RNA", at positions 524 to 776 of the family's 1533-position model. The record is from RNAcentral.